ACCAAAUGGGAUGAGAAGAAAUAGGAAUUUUCAGAAGAUAUACCUAGCCAAUGAAGAUUUAAAUUCAAGAGAUGUUUUCUGAGCGUCCUCUGUGGGCCACUCGCUUUUCCUUUCCCAUAUGUGAGCUCAUUUAUUUUCAUUCUUAACGAUAAACACUGAGGUUGCUAUGAAUAGGUUACCUUCUCCAAGAUGUUCUCCUUGGCCAGCACAGACUUGGGAAGAACACUCCCAUUUCAGAAUACCAGCAAUUCCAAAUGGAAUGAGAAGCAGAUGGUUUUGAGACCUGAAGGAAGUCUCCCGGCUUGAGCUGAAAGCGAGCAGAACCCCGGAGCUGUGGGAGCCAAACGCCACACAGAAAUCUCUGCCCAUCUCAGGAGAAACCGAACUUGGGGAAAAUGUUUGCAGUACACUUGAUGGCAUUUUACUUCAGCAAGCUGAAGGAGGAUCAGAUCAAGAAGGUACGGACUCAGCAGAGCUGAGAAAUGCCUGGUUCGUUCUUCACUGACAAAA
This 510-nucleotide long non-coding RNA is filed under the name Dasypus novemcinctus (nine-banded armadillo). Its description in RNAcentral is "lncRNA (ENSDNOG00000052053.1)". Lineage: Eukaryota; Metazoa; Chordata; Mammalia; Cingulata; Dasypodidae. The record is from RNAcentral.